RNAcentral lists this ribosomal RNA (777 nucleotides) under bacterium. RNAcentral describes it as "bacterial SSU rRNA". It matches the Rfam family "Bacterial small subunit ribosomal RNA", at positions 83 to 890 of the family's 1533-position model. The record is from RNAcentral.
CCUUCGGGGUGAGUGGCAGACGGGUGAGUAACGCGUGGGAACGUGCCCUUCAGUUCGGGAUAACCCAGGGAAACUUGGGCUAAUACCGGAUACGUGCGAGAGCAGAAAGAUUUAUCGCUGAAGGAUCGGCCCGCGUCUGAUUAGCUAGUUGGUAGGGUAAUGGCCUACCAAGGCGACGAUCAGUAGCUGGUCUGAGAGGAUGAUCAGCCACAUUGGGACUGAGACACGGCCCAAACUCCUACGGGAGGCAGCAGUGGGGAAUAUUGGACAAUGGGCGCAAGCCUGAUCCAGCCAUGCCGCGUGAGUGAUGAAGGCCUUAGGGUUGUAAAGCUCUUUCGUCCGGGACGAUAAUGACGGUACCGGAAGAAGAAGCCCCGGCUAACUUCGUGCCAGCAGCCGCGGUAAUACGAAGGGGGCUAGCGUUGUUCGGAAUCACUGGGCGUAAAGGGCGCGUAGGCGGCUUUAUAAGUCGGGGGUGAAAGCCUGUGGCUCAACCACAGAAUUGCCUUCGAUACUGUAUGGCUUGAGACCGGAAGAGGUAAGUGGAACUGCGAGUGUAGAGGUGAAAUUCGUAGAUAUUCGCAAGAACACCAGUGGCGAAGGCGGCUUACUGGGUCCGGUUCUGACGCUGAGGCGCCGAAAGCGUGGGGAGCAAACAGGAUUAGAUACCCCUGGUAGUCCACGCCGUAAACGAUGAAUGGCCAGCCGUUGGGCAGCUUGGCUGCUCAGUGGCGCAGCUAACGCUUUAAGCAUUCCGCCUGGGGGAGUACGGUCGCA